This 467-nucleotide ribosomal RNA is filed under the name uncultured bacterium. RNAcentral's name for it is "partial 16S ribosomal RNA". It matches the Rfam family "Bacterial small subunit ribosomal RNA", at positions 28 to 507 of the family's 1533-position model. The record is from RNAcentral.
GAUGAACGCUGGCGGCGUGCUUAACACAUGCAAGUCGAACGGAAAAGCCCAGCUUGCUUGGUGUGUUAGUGUCGCACGGGUGAGUGACACACGAGCAACCUGCCCCUUACACUGGGAUAUGCCCUGAGGAAGCCGGCGCUUACUCCAGAUGUCCCCUCCCCGCGCGUUGUGGGGGUGGGAAGAUUUUGCGGUUGGGGAUGGGCUCGCGGCCUAUCAGCUUGUUGGUGAGGUAAUGGCUCACCAAGGCGUCGACGGGUAGCCGGCCUGAGAGGGUGACCGGCCACACUGGGACUGAGAUACGGCCCAGACUCCUACGGGAGGCAGCAGUGGGGAAUAUUGCACAAUGGGCGGAAGCCUGAUGCAGCAACGCCGCGUGAGGGAUGACGGCCUUCGGGUUGUAAACCGCUUUCGGCAGGGAAGAAGCGAAAGUGACGGUACCGGCUGAAAAAGCACCGGCUAACUACGUG